Long non-coding RNA from Poecilia latipinna (sailfin molly), 603 nucleotides. RefSeq lists it as uncharacterized. Lineage: Eukaryota; Metazoa; Chordata; Actinopteri; Cyprinodontiformes; Poeciliidae. The transcript has 2 exons. The record is from RefSeq and is a predicted model, not a curated record.
CUUACAAACAUCGUUGCUAGGUAACGUCAGCUACAUUUUCUCAUUUCCGUAGUUCAUUCAGUGACCUUCCCGGCAGCCAGUGCCAGCUCGUUUUAAUGGUUUUCUGACUAAAAAAAAAACUUUAUUUGUGAAAUUAUGGAGGAUUCUGCGUGGAUUUUUAUGCAAAGACUUGUAGAGAGGCAAGUGCACGAACAGUUUGACGUGCCGGUGCCGAGACAUUUAGCAAGAGAUGUGAGGAGGAUGCAGAUAUUAUUAAGGGAGCCACGUGCAAAUCAAAACAUAAUAGAAGCCGUCCGGAUCUGGUUGUGGCGCGUUUUGCCUAUGUUUCGUCAUCUUUUUAUGUGGUAGUGCCCUCGUUGGUUGCGGCUCUGGAAAAGUUCUGUGCCAGAGGGAAGAGGAACUCCGACGACCCUUUUAUUACACCUGACUGUCCUCUGCAAGACUUUUUUUUUUUUUUUUUCGUCUGACAUACUGCAGCUACAGUAUCACGUUGAGUUGCAGGAUGAUCUAAACCCCACCUCAGCGGAAGUAUUUUAUUGAGGAUCCUUACAAUAUGCACGUUUUCCUCUACUGAGCUGUAGAUGGUAUUUAAAAAAAAAAAAA